RNAcentral lists this ribosomal RNA (466 nucleotides) under uncultured bacterium. RNAcentral's name for it is "partial 16S ribosomal RNA". It matches the Rfam family "Bacterial small subunit ribosomal RNA", at positions 30 to 507 of the family's 1533-position model. The record is from RNAcentral.
CGAACGCUGGCGGCGUGCUUACCGCAUGCAAGUCGAACGGAAAGGCCCUGCUUUUGUGGGGUGCUCGAGUGGCGAACGGGUGAGUAACACGUGAGUAACCUGCCCUUGACUUUGGGAUAACUUCAGGAAACUGGGGCUAAUACCGGAUAGGAGCUCCUGCUUCCUGGUGGGGGUUGGAAAGUUUCGGCGGUUGGGGAUGGACUCGCGGCUUAUCAGCUUGUUGGUGGGGUAGUGGCUUACCAAGGCUUUGACGGGUAGCCGGCCUGAGAGGGUGACCGGCCACAUUGGGACUGAGAUACGGCCCAGACUCCUACGGGAGGCAGCAGUGGGGAAUAUUGCACAAUGGGCGGAAGCCUGAUGCAGCAACGCCGCGUGCGGGAUGACGGCCUUCGGGUUGUAAACCGCUUUCGCCUGUGACGAAGCGUGAGUGACGGUAAUGGGUAAAGAAGCACCGGCUAACUACGUG